UUUUUUUCUAAUAAAAUCCAACCUGGAAUCAAACCCUUAUUAGAAUAAAAGUACAUAUACAGUAGCCAAUUUAAAAAAUUUUUCACUUUUUUAGUAUAUUUGCUGCCAGAGCAUACAACCUAUUUUUAAAAUUAUGUUUCCUGCAUGUGCAAAACUUUGAUUUGAUCCCCAACAGGACCAAAAAAAAAUUAUUAUGUUCCAGUUUUGCACAAUAUGUCUGCUGGUUUACAAAAUAUUUGAGAAAAAAGGCACCAUUUCACUUUCUUCCACCUCUCUCCCCUUUCAGCCCCAUUUCUUUCUUUUAUUUUGAAAAAUGUUAAAAUUUAUUAAAAAUAGUUACCAUCACAUAGUUAAUUCAACUACUUCUCUAUUGCACAUAGUGACAACAUCUCUCCACAAGAUUGCAUGCUCAAGGAUUUGAGAUGAUCCAUAUUUAGUGCACCCCAGUCAAAGACUGAGAUCCACUGUAUUUACACCAAGCAAAGCAGCAUCAUGGAAGGGCCAACCUCUCAUUGCUUGUUAGUUAUGUUGUUCUUUAUAAUGUCUUGGUUUUUAACAGUUACAUCUUGUUUUGACAACAUAAUUCAAAUACUGUUUACUCCUCACAUUCUAUUUUUUUUAUUAGAUCUUUAUGGUUAUACAUAGUAGAUGGGUUCAUCCCAACAAACUCAUACAUGCAUAGAAAUCGAUUUCAGUACAAAAUCACCUCUUUUCUCUCCCAUUUCCCUUCCUUCCUCCCUUUUCCCUCUUUCCUCUACUCUUCUAGACUUCCUUUUGCUCAUCUAUUAAUUUGUUUUUGUUUGAUUCUUUAUGUAAUCUGAUCCUCCCUUCCCCCUUUCCUUAUUUCACUGUAGCUUCUGUAUAUCAGGGAAAAUCUUCAACCUUUGAGUUUCUGAGUUUGGCUAAUUUCACUUAGCAUGAUAGUCUCUAUUUCCAUCCAUUUGCCAGCAAAUGCCUUAAUUUCAUUCUUUUCAAUGUCUGAGUAGAACUUCAUUGUAU
Molecule: long non-coding RNA, 999 nt
Filed under: Marmota monax (woodchuck)
Lineage: Eukaryota; Metazoa; Chordata; Mammalia; Rodentia; Sciuridae
Source: RNAcentral